RNAcentral lists this transfer RNA (42 nucleotides) under Polygonatum sibiricum. Its description in RNAcentral is "partial tRNA-His". The record is from RNAcentral. Lineage: Eukaryota; Viridiplantae; Streptophyta; Magnoliopsida; Asparagales; Asparagaceae.
GGGCGGAUGUAGCCAAGUGGAUCAAGGCAGUGGAUUGUGAAC